AUUCCAAUGCGCUUCAUUGGGUCUUUAAUGUCACAAACCAGCAAUUUCUCUACUGAAUUCAUACAUUUAUCCUUAAGCUGGAUUCAUAUAGUUUAUUAGUAAACAUGGAGAGAUGUAUCCUACUGAUUCUCAUAACAGUGACAGGUGUAUUUGCUGACAGCAUUAAACCAAAAGACACCAAUAUAAUGAAAAGUGAAGGAGAUUCUGUGACACUGAGCUGCACGUAUGAAACAACUAGCCGUGAUGUUUUGCUUUACUGGUACAGACAGAAUCCGAACAGAGAACCUCAGUAUUUACUUCGAAAAGGUGCUCGAUCAUGGAGUGGUUAUGAGGAUAUACCAGACAAACAUUUUCAGUCAGAAACAUCUGAAUCAUCCACUGAACUCAUUAUUAAGAGUGUGUCUCUGUCAGAUUCAGCUCUAUAUUACUGUGCUCUGAGAGUUGGAGCCCAGUGA
Non-coding RNA from Triplophysa dalaica, 455 nucleotides. Lineage: Eukaryota; Metazoa; Chordata; Actinopteri; Cypriniformes; Nemacheilidae. The record is from the annotation of a RefSeq genome assembly.